Molecule: ribosomal RNA, 374 nt
Filed under: Parageobacillus thermoglucosidasius TNO-09.020
Lineage: Bacteria; Bacillati; Bacillota; Bacilli; Caryophanales; Anoxybacillaceae
Description: bacterial SSU rRNA
Rfam family: Bacterial small subunit ribosomal RNA
Source: RNAcentral
AGAGUUUGAUCCUGGCUCAGGACGAACGCUGGCGGCGUGCCUAAUACAUGCAAGUCGAGCGGACCGGGCGGGAGCUUGCUUCCGCUUGGUUAGCGGCGGACGGGUGAGUAACACGUGGGUAACCUGCCCGUAAGACCGGGAUAACUCCGGGAAACCGGGGCUAAUACCGGAUAACACCGAAGACCGCAUGGUCUUCGGUUGAAAGGCGGCUUCGGCUGCCACUUACGGAUGGGCCCGCGGCGCAUUAGCUAGUUGGUGAGGUAACGGCUCACCAAGGCGACGAUGCGUAGCCGGCCUGAGAGGGUGACCGGCCACACUGGGACUGAGACACGGCCCAGACUCCGUACGGGAGGCAGCAGGUAGGGAAUCUUCCG